ACUCAAAUGAAUAGACGGGGACCCGCACAAGCGGUGGAGGAUGUGGUUUAAUUCGACGCAACGCGAAGAACCUUACCAAGGUUUGACAUCUAGCGAAUCUGCUGGAAACAGUGGAGUGCCCGAAAGGGAGCGCUAAGACAGGUGGUGCAUGGCUGUCGUCAGCUCGUGUCGUGAGAUGUUGGGUUAAGUCCCGCAACGAGCGCAACCCUCGAUGUUAGUUACCAUCAUUAAGUUGGGGACUCUAACGUGACUGCCGGUGAUAAGCCGGAGGAAGGUGAGGACGACGUCAAGUCAUCAUGCCCCUUACAUCUUGGGCUACACACGUCCUACAAUGGCAUAGACAAAGGGCUGCAAGUCAGUGAUGGCAAGCGAAUCCCAUAAACUAUGUCUCAGUUCGGAUUGCAGGCUGCAACUCGCCUGCAUGAAGUCGGAAUCGCUAGUAACCGUAGAUCAGCACGCUACGGUGAAUACGUUCCCGGGUCUUGUACACACCGCCCGU
Molecule: ribosomal RNA, 499 nt
Filed under: uncultured bacterium
Lineage: Bacteria
Description: partial 16S ribosomal RNA
Rfam family: Bacterial small subunit ribosomal RNA
Source: RNAcentral